This 439-nucleotide ribosomal RNA is filed under the name uncultured bacterium. RNAcentral describes it as "partial 16S ribosomal RNA". It matches the Rfam family "Bacterial small subunit ribosomal RNA", at positions 339 to 795 of the family's 1533-position model. The record is from RNAcentral.
CUACGGGUCGCUGCAGUGGGGAAUAUUGGACAAUGGGGGCAACCCUGAUCCAGCCAUGCCGCGUGAGUGAUGAAGGCCUUCGGGUUGUAAAGCUCUUUUGGCGGGGACGAUGAUGACGGUACCCGCAGAAUAAGCCCCGGCUAACUUCGUGCCAGCAGCCGCGGUAAGACGAAGGGGGCUAGCGUUGUUCGGAAUUACUGGGCGUAAAGCGCGUGUAGGCGGUUGCCCAAGUCGGGUGUGAAAGCCUUGAGCUCAACUCAAGAAAUGCACUCGGUACUGGGUGACUAGAGGACCGGAGAGGAUAGUGGAAUUCCCAGUGUAGUGGUGAAAUACGUAGAGAUUGGGAAGAACACCAGUGGCGAAGGCGGCUAUCUGGACGGUUUCUGACGCUAAGACGCGAAAGCGUGGGGAGCAAACAGGAUUAGAUACCCUCGUAGUC